CACCUUACUAUAAGUGUUGUCUAAAUAACUGGUGCCAGAAGACUCGGUAACACCAGAAACGCGAACGUUAGUCGUCUUAAACAGGCGUAAAGGGUAAGUAGGCUGCUUUAAAUAUCUAAUUUUAAAUAAGCUAAUUAAUAAUUUAACCUAAAAUUUUUCAGACCUUAAUUUAUAAUUUAAGGCUAACUAAUAAUGAAAAAAGGUAAUUAUUUGUUUUUCUAAUAAUUAUAAUUAUUAAAUUAAAAAAAUAGAUACACUUAAAGCUAGAAUCAUAAUUGAGAUAAACCAAAUAAUACUUAUGUGUAAGGGCGAUAUCUGAAAAUACUAAGUAGAAUACUAACGGUGAAAACUUUUUAUCUAGGAAUGAUUGACGCUGAGGUACGAAAGUGAGAACAGGGAAUAGGAU
Molecule: ribosomal RNA, 406 nt
Filed under: Pseudosperma arenicola
Lineage: Eukaryota; Fungi; Basidiomycota; Agaricomycetes; Agaricales; Inocybaceae
Description: Inocybe arenicola partial small subunit ribosomal RNA
Rfam family: Bacterial small subunit ribosomal RNA
Source: RNAcentral